GGAAUCUUGGACAAUGGGCGCAAGCCUGAUCCAGCCAUGCCGCGUGAGUGAAGAAGGCCUUCGGGUUGUAAACCUCUUUCGCCGGUGACGAUAAUGACGGUAGCCGGAGAAGAAGCCCCGGCCAACUCCGUGCCAGCAGCCGCGGUAAUACGGAGGGGGCUAGCGUUGUUCGGAAUUACUGGGCGUAAAGCGCGCGUAGGCGGCCAGGCAAGUUGGGCGUGAAAGCCCGGGGCUCAACCCCGGAGGUGCGCCCAAGACUGCCUGGCUGGAGGCCGAGAGAGGGUGGCGGAAUUCCCAGUGUAGAGGUGAAAUUCGUAGAUAUUGGGAAGAACACCGGUGGCGAAGGCGGCCACCUGGCUCGGUUCUGACGCUGAGGCGCGAAAGCGUGGGGAGCA
Molecule: ribosomal RNA, 395 nt
Filed under: uncultured bacterium
Lineage: Bacteria
Description: bacterial SSU rRNA
Rfam family: Bacterial small subunit ribosomal RNA
Source: RNAcentral